Molecule: ribosomal RNA, 425 nt
Filed under: uncultured bacterium
Lineage: Bacteria
Description: partial 16S ribosomal RNA
Rfam family: Bacterial small subunit ribosomal RNA
Source: RNAcentral
GUGGGGAAUCUUAGACAAUGGGCGCAAGCCUGAUCUAGCCAUGCCGCGUGAGCGAUGAAGGCCUUAGGGUUGUAAAGCUCUUUCGUGGGGGAAGAUAAUGACUGUACCCCAAGAAGAAGCCCCGGCUAACUCCGUGCCAGCAGCCGCGGUAAUACGGAGGGGGCUAGCGUUGUUCGGAAUUACUGGGCGUAAAGCGCACGUAGGCGGACUGGAAAGUCAGGGGUGAAAUCCCGGGGCUCAACCCCGGAACUGCCUUUGAAACUCCCAGUCUUGAGUUCGAGAGAGGUGAGUGGAAUUCCGAGUGUAGAGGUUAAAUUCGUAGAUAUUCGGAGGAACACCAGUGGCGAAGGCGGCUCACUGGCUCGAUACUGACGCUGAGGUGCGAAAGCGUGGGGAGCAAACAGGAUUAGAUACCCGUGUAGUCC